Molecule: non-coding RNA, 84 nt
Organism: Thermoplasmatales archaeon SG8-52-3
Lineage: Archaea; Methanobacteriati; Thermoplasmatota; Thermoplasmata; Thermoplasmatales
Source: Rfam
GCGGGGAUGGCCCAGCCCGGCACGGCGAAGGAUUGCUAAUCCUUUGGUCUUACGACCACGGGAGUUCGAAUCUCCCUCCCCGCG